CCGGCCCCGCCCUCGCUCCGCCUGCGCAGGCGCAAUUUCCCGCAAACCCGGAAGCGGAGGGAGGGGCGCAGCCCUUGGUUUUUCUGUCACGACUGGGUAUUUUAGACGCCCCUCACGCCCCCGAUCCGCCACAUCCAAGGUUCAGGGGUCGUCAAUUACGUUAAGAUCCCCUUCAUCCACUCGUCCGCCCUCGGAGGAGAAUCCAGACUCCACUGUAGGACUUUACAAAAGGGGGCUCCGGAGGUGGGGUGACCCUCCACAACUGGUCCAAUCUGAGGGAAGAUACAGGCCUUCCCAUCCGAGGCUGACCAGACAUUGUCCUGUCCAGCGAGGUGCUGUGAUGUUGUGGAGGCCACUCCCUGUGGUUGAGUCCCAUUUUCAAGCGGGGACUGAGUUGUGAGCUAUCGGCAGCCAAACUCCUGGCUGUGGAGGAGUUUGUGUCUGAAUCCUGAGAGGCAGACUGAGGAAGUUUGUUCUAUGUAGUAACCUCUAUGGGGUCUCUAAUGAGUGCGAGGACCAUUGACCCAUAAGAGGUUAAAAGGAAGAAUUUCGCAGACCAUUUUGGGGGUAAUCUGCUGUGUUUUAAGUGGGUGGAUCUCAUUAUUACUGCCCAAGCUUUACUGUCAUGUGGGUUCUGCCGGAUACAGAUGACAUCUUAGAAAUGUUUCCAAGAUGGAAGAUAUUAGAGUCUCCGUGGAAAACGUGGAUUGUUGGAGACAUCACUCUUGCAUUAGGAUGUUAUGGCUGUGCCUGACUUUAGGGUGGGGUCUCCAAGAAGGAGGGCUUUCCUGAUGGCUCGGACAGUAAAGAGUCUGCCUGCAGUGCGGGAGACCCAGGUUUGAUCCCUGGGUCAGGAAGAUCCCCUGGAGGACAGCAUGGCAACCCACUCCAGGAUUCUUGCCUGGAGAAUCUCCAUGGGCAGAGGAGCCUGGCAGACUCCAGUCUUUGGGGUCACAAAGAGUCCAACAUGACUGAGCGACUAACACACACAGUCCAAGAAGGAAUAUACUGGAUCCUGGGUUGGUGAGUGUCCUCCUGCCAGAACAAAAGCUAUUGACAUUUGGGACGUGCUGUGGGAUCC
This 1081-nucleotide transfer RNA is filed under the name Bos mutus (wild yak). Its description in RNAcentral is "lncRNA (ENSBMUG00000003460.1)". Lineage: Eukaryota; Metazoa; Chordata; Mammalia; Artiodactyla; Bovidae. The record is from RNAcentral.